This 451-nucleotide ribosomal RNA is filed under the name Aldrichina grahami. Its description in RNAcentral is "28S ribosomal RNA". The stretch from base 1 to 368 matches the Rfam family "Eukaryotic large subunit ribosomal RNA", at positions 295 to 664 of the family's 3401-position model. Lineage: Eukaryota; Metazoa; Arthropoda; Insecta; Diptera; Calliphoridae. The record is from RNAcentral.
GGUGGUAACUCCAUCUAAAACUAAAUAUAACCAUGAGACCGAUAGUAAACAAGUACCGUGAGGGAAAGUUGAAAAGAACUCUGAAUAGAGAGUUAAAUAGUACGUGAAACUGCUUAGAGGUUAAGCCCGAUGAACCUGAAUAUCCGUUAUGGAAAAUUCAUCUUUAUGAUUUUAAUAUUUAUAAUAUUAUAAUAAUGGUGUGCAUUUUUUCUAUAAAGGACAUUGUAAUCUAUUAACAUAAAUAUAUUUAUCAUAAGAUCAUUUGCGUAAGUUUAUUCAAAUUAUUUUGCUUGCAUUUUAAUAUCGAAUAAAUGCUUUUGAUUUGAUAAAGUGUUGAUAGAUUUAUUAUAUAUAGUGCUUAAAUAUUUAUAUUUUAUAAUAGCAUAUUGAUCAUUGAUCUUUAUGUUUAUUAUAUGCACUUAUAUGAUUAACAAUGCGAAAGAUCAGGAUA